AACAACUCAUAAAAUAUGGUCCAUAGAGUCAGCUUCAUCAUCACAACAUAACACACAAAUAAAUUGAUCUGCAAUUCUCAAGAAAUCAUUCUGUUUUUGGUUGCUAACUUGUCCAUAAUAGCUAACCAUUCCAUAAAUGAAUUCCUAGGAAUAGUAACAAUUCCUAACUCUUCUUGACCUUAUAUGACUCUUGAGGAGUUUGCAACCUGAGGAGUUUCUUC
RNAcentral lists this long non-coding RNA (221 nucleotides) under Gossypium barbadense (sea-island cotton). Its description in RNAcentral is "long non-coding RNA (GBAR_LNC015246)". The record is from RNAcentral. Lineage: Eukaryota; Viridiplantae; Streptophyta; Magnoliopsida; Malvales; Malvaceae.